RNAcentral lists this ribosomal RNA (433 nucleotides) under uncultured bacterium. RNAcentral describes it as "partial 16S ribosomal RNA". It matches the Rfam family "Bacterial small subunit ribosomal RNA", at positions 29 to 507 of the family's 1533-position model. The record is from RNAcentral.
AGCGAACGCUGGCGGCAGGCCUAACACAUGCAAGUCGAACGAACUCUUCGGAGUUAGUGGCGGACGGGUGAGUAACACGUGGGAACGUGCCUCUUGGUUCGGAAUAACUCAGGGAAACUUGUGCUAAUACCGAAUGUGCCCUUCGGGGGAAAGAUUUAUCGCCAUUAGAGCGGCCCGCGUCUGAUUAGCUAGUUGGUGAGGUAACGGCUCACCAAGGCGACGAUCAGUAGCUGGUCUGAGAGGAUGACCAGCCACACUGGGACUGAGACACGGCCCAGACUCCUACGGGAAGCAGCAGUGGGGAAUCUUGCGCAAUGGGCGAAAGCCUGACGCAGCCAUGCCGCGUGAAUGAUGAAGGUCUUAGGAUUGUAAAAUUCUUUCACCGGGGACGAUAAUGACGGUACCCGGAGAAGAAGCCCCGGCUAACUUCGUG